CCAUUUAAGAAUGACAGAGGCCACUGUGUUCUUGGGGACCUUCAAUGCUGCAGAAAUAUGUUGGUACUCUUCUCCAGAUCUGUGCCUUGACAAAAUCCUGUCUUUAAGCUCUGCGGACAAUUCCUUCGACCUCAUGGCUUGGUCUGACAUGCACUGUCAACUGUGGGACCUCAUAUAGACAGGUGUGUGCAUUUCCAAAUUAUGUCCAAUCAAUUGAAUUUACCACAGGUGGACUCCAAUCAAGUUGUAGAUAUAUCUCAAGGAUGAUCAAUGGAAACAGGAUGAACCUGAGCUCAAUUUCAAGUUUCAUAGUAAAGGGUACUUAUGAAUACUUAUGUAAAUAACAUUUUUCUGUUUUUUAUUUACAUUUGCAAAAAUGUCUAAAAUCCUGUUUUCACUUUGUCAUUAUGGGGUAUUGUGUGUAUAUUGAUGAGGGGAAAAAUAUUAAAUCCAUUUGAGAAUAAGGCUGUAACGUAACAAAAUGUGGAAAAAGUCAAGGGGUCUGAAUACUUUCUGAAUGCACUGUAAGUAAUAUAGUGUUUGUCACAGUAGCUGUGGACUAUUGAAAGCAAAAUAAGAUAUAAUGUGCUUUUACUUUCAUCAAGAGCUAAUUCCUUUUCCACAAUGUAUUUCAUGAUCUCUGAAACUGUUUUGACAAAGUGGCUCAAUUUCAAACUGCCAUCUGAAGCAUUUCACAACCAUGGCAUGUUGUCACUGUUGUUCCAGAUAUUUCCUGCUAACUAGCCUUGCAGUUGUCUUCCUCAUUUUAGCUUCCUCUUUGUGAUGUUAAGGCUUAUUAAUGAUCAGGCGUGUUGUCAGAUGCACAGUAUCAUCAGCGUCCCUGUCGCUGUUUGGUUAAAGGAGAGAACUCAACUAAGGAAUCAUUGGGGCACCAACUAAACAUCCACCAUUUCAACUAGAGGUCAAAUCAUUCAGGUAGCCUAGUGGUUAGAGCAUUGGACUAGUAACUGAAAGGUUGCCGGAUCAAAUCCCUGAGCUGACAAGGUAAAAAAUCUCUCAUUCUGCCCCUGAACAAGGCAGUUAACCCACUGUUCCUAGGCUGUCAUUGACAAUAAGAAUUUGUUCUUAACUGACUUGCUUUGUUAAAUAAAUAAUAAUUGUAGUUUCAUGAAGAUAUGAAUGGAAGUCUUAUCUACCCUAAACAAACAGUUGAAAUGUGUUGGUCCACUGGUGUCACUGAAGUACAGUUAAGUACACCAAAACAAAAAACUACAUCAAAAAUAACCUGGAGUUAAUUGUUUGGAUAUGGAAUACAUUCAUGUUUAAACAUUACCCAAAUGUCUCUUCUGUUCAUACUACAGGUUCAUAGUCUGCAACUGUGAGAGCAGGCCCCCCACUUAGUGUAUUUGUCAAGCUGAGUUGGACACUCAGUAUUACAGGGUGUCAGUUUGUCAAAUACCCCAAGUGAGGGGUCACUUGUCUGCUGAGCAUCUCCCAUCAGACUAACUUCAAAGAAGAACACUUCAUUAACCUCCAAGUGACUUUCACUGUUAAGACUUUCUCAGAGACAAGACAUUUUGAUUAUGUGAAAAUGAUUAUCUUUAUCUACUAUGUGUGAUUAUGUGCAAUUGAUCACGCACUGUCACAAAUGUCUCAUGUAUUUUGUGUAAGUUUGUAUGAUGGAACUUAGUACACUGUGUAACAAAUGUGUGUCUCUGUAUUAAAUACUGCAUUAAAUAAGUACUGGGUUAUAAAA
Oncorhynchus keta (chum salmon) is the source of this 1717-nucleotide long non-coding RNA. RefSeq lists it as uncharacterized. The record is from RefSeq and is a predicted model, not a curated record. The transcript has 2 exons. NCBI's taxonomy places the organism in Eukaryota, Metazoa, Chordata, Actinopteri, Salmoniformes, Salmonidae.